CCUGAAGUGAGUUCCCAGUCCCAAAAGAAUCCUGGCCAUGGAGUUCCACAAAAGAAUGGGCCUCCUCAAGCUGUUAACAGAUAACCGAAGUAGGCUGGAGGUGAAAUAGACACAACUUGCUUCCUGAGUGGCUUAUUAAAAUACACACAUACAUUCGUGCAUGCAGACCUACCUACAACAUGAUACCUAAAAUUGAGAGAUGGAAACUAAUGUAAUGAAUCCACGGUUGAUACGAUUAGUAAUCUGCCCACAUGCACACAGCCAGCCGGUUUGUCCAGGAGCCUGCACUGGAUCCCUCACUCCUUUCCUAAACCUGCGUGAAACACUGUUGCGCAGGAACCACAAUCGUGGACGGGUUAGACGGAAGAUCCCUGUGUACUCUCACAGACUUCGCUGAAAGCAAGGCAUCUGUGGACUUCUAGAAGUACGAAGAACAAAAAUUCGGGGCAUUCUGCCAAGAGAGGCAGCCAAGCCACGAAGAGAGGGCCAGGGCAGGUAGAUGUGCAGAGAGAAGUGAGAAGACCACCCA
This 529-nucleotide long non-coding RNA is filed under the name Chinchilla lanigera (long-tailed chinchilla). Its description in RNAcentral is "lncRNA (ENSCLAG00000028008.1)". Lineage: Eukaryota; Metazoa; Chordata; Mammalia; Rodentia; Chinchillidae. The record is from RNAcentral.